Molecule: ribosomal RNA, 254 nt
Filed under: uncultured bacterium
Lineage: Bacteria
Description: partial 16S ribosomal RNA
Rfam family: Bacterial small subunit ribosomal RNA
Source: RNAcentral
UACGUAGGGGGCAAGCGUUGUUCGGAAUGACUGGGCGUAAAGGGUGCGUAGGCGGUGUAGCAAGUUAGAAGUGAAAUACCUAGAGCUUAACUCAGGUGCUGCUUCUAAAACUGCUAUACUUGAGUGCAGUAGAGGAAAGUGGAAUUCCUAGUGUAGCGGUGGAAUGCGUAGAUAUUAGGAGGAACAUCAGUGGCGAAGGCGACUUUCUGGACUGUAACUGACGCUGAGGCACGAAAGUGUAGGGAGCAAACAGG